Molecule: ribosomal RNA, 468 nt
Filed under: uncultured bacterium
Lineage: Bacteria
Description: partial 16S ribosomal RNA
Rfam family: Bacterial small subunit ribosomal RNA
Source: RNAcentral
GACGAACGCUGGCGGCGUGCUUAACACAUGCAAGUCGAACGGAAAGGCCCUGCUUUUGUGGGGUGCUCGAGUGGCGAACGGGUGAGUAACACGUGAGUAACCUGCCCUUGACUUUGGGAUAACUUCAGGAAACUGGGGCUAAUCCCGGAUAGGAGCUCCUGCUGCAUGGUGGGGGUUGGAAAGUUUCGGCGGUUGGGGAUGGACUCGCGGCUUAGCAGCUUGUUGGUGGGGUAGUGGCUUACCAAGGCUUUGACGGGUAGCCGGCCUGAGAGGGUGACCGGCCACAGUGGGACUGAGAUACGGCCCAGACUCCUACGGGAGGCAGCAGUGGGGAAUAUUGCACAAUGGGCGGAAGCCUGAUGCAGCAACGCCGCGUGCGGGAUGACGGCCUUCGGGUUGUAAACCGCUUUCGCCUGUGACGAAGCGUGAGUGACGGUAAUGGGUAAAGAAGCACCGGCUAACUACGUG